Molecule: non-coding RNA, 75 nt
Organism: Hyaena hyaena (striped hyena)
Lineage: Eukaryota; Metazoa; Chordata; Mammalia; Carnivora; Hyaenidae
Source: the annotation of a RefSeq genome assembly
GCCUGGGUGGCUUAGUCGGUUAAGCGUCCGACUUUCGCUUGGGUUUCGACGUGGGUUCGAGCCCCGCGUCAGGCU